UACGUAGGGGGCAAGCGUUGUCCGGAAUCAUUGGGCGUAAAGCGCGUGUAGGCGGCUUGGUAAGUCCGCUCUGAAAGCCCGGGGCUCAACCCCGGGAGGCGGGUGGAUACUGUCAAGCUCGAGUCCGGAAGAGGCGAGUGGAAUUCCUGGUGUAGCGGUGAAAUGCGCAGAUAUCAGGAGGAACACCAAUGGCGAAGGCAGCUCGCUGGGACGUGACUGACGCUGAGACGCGAAAGCGUGGGGAGCAA
Molecule: ribosomal RNA, 248 nt
Filed under: uncultured bacterium
Lineage: Bacteria
Description: partial 16S ribosomal RNA
Rfam family: Bacterial small subunit ribosomal RNA
Source: RNAcentral